Molecule: long non-coding RNA, 770 nt
Filed under: Homo sapiens (human)
Lineage: Eukaryota; Metazoa; Chordata; Mammalia; Primates; Hominidae
Description: HSALNT0243765
Source: RNAcentral
CAGCUGCUGGUCCCCAGUGAGCUGGAUAAGAGGCAGCCAUAUCUAAUCCACUCAAGAUGACUGACCCACCCAGGUCUCCAUCGGGGAGUGUCCAAGGUGAGCCUCGGCGACUUGUGCUAGAAUAAGGUGCUCAAGUGUGAGUGCGCUCCCAGCAAAUGGAUGCAGAAGCCAGCUUGAAGGGGUUUCCAGGUUGGCCAAAUUUGGAACAAUUUGUGUAUCAAAAGAAGUAAAUAACAAAAAAAGGACUAAAAUGGAUUAUAACAUUAGUUUCAAAAUCCUUGAGCCCAUAGCGAUUAAGAAAAAAAAAAAAGAGAGAGAGAAGAAAGUGAAAAGAAAGCUCUGCUUUACAGAAAAAUGUCAGCUAACAAUGUAGAAGAAUUUCUACUCAACUGAGUACUUCAGGCAAGGGUGAUCAACACAUGCUAAACCACUGGGUGAGUGACUGUCAGUAAACAGGAUAUUCACAUUGUGCUGAAGUAUCACCCCAAAUACUAACAAGAGAGGAGGAAAUGAACCCUUAUGGUAGAGAGAUCAGCUGUAGCAUCACUAAGAGGAGGUGAUAAUAAUCUUACAGAUACAAUCUGCCAUCACAUGCUUUCUGAUGUAGAGACCUGCCAAAAACAUUCGUGCCAAAAACAUUUAACUUGAACCUAAUCAAGCCUCUCCACCUAACUUCUGGUUUCCAGGAAAUACAAGGAAUACAGAGAAAUGUUCAACGCUGUCAUGAGGAAAAAAGCAAACAAACCAGAAUGGGGCAUCCUAUAACCCAC